UUAUGGCUCAGGACGAACGCUGGCGGCGUGCCUAAUACAUGCAAGUCGAACGGUCUUUCUAUGGAAGCUUGCUUCCACUGAGAAGAUAGUGGCGAACGGGUGAGUAACACGUGGGUAACCUGCCCAUAAGAGGGGGAUAACAUCCGGAAACGGGUGCUAAUACCGCAUAGUUUUCUUGAUCGCAUGAUCGGGAAAGGAAAGACGGCCUUUGUGCUGUCGCUUAUGGAUGGACCCGCGGCGUAUUAGUUAGUUGGUGAGGUAACGGCUCACCAAGACGAUGAUACGUAGCCGACCUGAGAGGGUGAUCGGCCACAUUGGGACUGAGACACGGCCCAAACUCCUACGGGAGGCAGCAGUAGGGAAUCUUCCGCAAUGGACGAAAGUCUGACGGAGCAACGCCGCGUGAGUGAAGAAAGGUUUUCGGAUCGUAAAACUCUGUUGUCAGAGAAGAACAAGUUGGAGAGUAACUGCUCCAGCCUUGACGGUAUCUGACCAGAAAGCCACGGCUAACUACGUGCCAGCCGCUGC
This 528-nucleotide ribosomal RNA is filed under the name uncultured bacterium. RNAcentral describes it as "bacterial SSU rRNA". It matches the Rfam family "Bacterial small subunit ribosomal RNA", at positions 17 to 518 of the family's 1533-position model. The record is from RNAcentral.